This 847-nucleotide ribosomal RNA is filed under the name uncultured bacterium. Its description in RNAcentral is "bacterial SSU rRNA". It matches the Rfam family "Bacterial small subunit ribosomal RNA", at positions 59 to 912 of the family's 1533-position model. The record is from RNAcentral.
CAGUCGAACGAAGCGAGAACUAAAGCGCAAGCAGAGGUUCUUGACUGAGUGGCGGACGGGUGAGUAACGCGUGGAUAACCUGCCUUUCACAGGGGGAUAACAGCUGGAAACGGUUGCUAAUACCGCAUGAGCCUCUUUUGUCGCAUGACGGGAGAGGGAAAGAGAAAUCGGUGAGAGAUGGAUCCGCGUCCGAUUAGCUAGUUGGAGGGGUAACAGCCCACCAAGGCGACGAUCGGUAGCCGACCUGAGAGGGUGGACGGCCACAUUGGGACUGAGACACGGCCCAAACUCCUACGGGAGGCAGCAGUGGGGAAUAUUGCACAAUGGGGGAAACCCUGAUGCAGCAACGCCGCGUGAGUGAGGAAGUAUUUCGGUAUGUAAAGCUCUAUCAGCAGGGAAUAGAAAAGAAGGUACCUGAAAAAGAAGCCCCGGCUAACUACGUGCCAGCAGCCGCGGUAAUACGUAGGGGGCAAGCGUUAUCCGGAUUUACUGGGUGUAAAGGGAGCGUAGACGGAAAGGCAAGUCAGAAGUGAAAACCCAAGGCUCAACCAUGGGACUGCUUUUGAAACUGUCAAACUAGAGUACGGGAGAGGUAAGAGGAAUUCCUAGUGUAGCGGUGAAAUGCGUAGAUAUUAGGAGGAACACCAGUGGCGAAGGCGUCUUACUGGACCGAAACUGACGUUGAGGCUCGAAAGCGUGGGGAGCAAACAGGAUUAGAUACCCUGGUAGUCCACGCGGUAAACGAUGAAUACUAGGUGUUGGGGUAAAGAAACCUCGGUGCCGCAGCAAACGCAAUAAGUAUUCCACCUGGGGAGUACGUUCGCAAGAAUGAAACUCAAAGGAAUUG